Molecule: ribosomal RNA, 1149 nt
Filed under: Vibrio parahaemolyticus
Lineage: Bacteria; Pseudomonadati; Pseudomonadota; Gammaproteobacteria; Vibrionales; Vibrionaceae
Description: bacterial SSU rRNA
Rfam family: Bacterial small subunit ribosomal RNA
Source: RNAcentral
UCGAGCGGAACGAGUUAUCUGAACCUUCGGGGGAACGAUAACGGCGUCGAGCGGCGGACGGGUGAGUAAUGCCUAGGAAAUUGCCCUGAUGUGGGGGAUAACCAUUGGAAACGAUGGCUAAUACCGCAUGAUGCCUACGGGCCAAAGAGGGGGACCUUCGGGCCUCUCGCGUCAGGAUAUGCCUAGGUGGGAUUAGCUAGUUGGUGAGGUAAGGGCUCACCAAGGCGACGAUCCCUAGCUGGUCUGAGAGGAUGAUCAGCCACACUGGAACUGAGACACGGUCCAGACUCCUACGGGAGGCAGCAGUGGGGAAUAUUGCACAAUGGGCGCAAGCCUGAUGCAGCCAUGCCGCGUGUGUGAAGAAGGCCUUCGGGUUGUAAAGCACUUUCAGUCGUGAGGAAGGUAGUGUAGUUAAUAGCUGCAUUAUUUGACGUUAGCGACAGAAGAAGCACCGGCUAACUCCGUGCCAGCAGCCGCGGUAAUACGGAGGGUGCGAGCGUUAAUCGGAAUUACUGGGCGUAAAGCGCAUGCAGGUGGUUUGUUAAGUCAGAUGUGAAAGCCCGGGGCUCAACCUCGGAAUUGCAUUUGAAACUGGCAGACUAGAGUACUGUAGAGGGGGGUAGAAUUUCAGGUGUAGCGGUGAAAUGCGUAGAGAUCUGAAGGAAUACCGGUGGCGAAGGCGGCCCCCUGGACAGAUACUGACACUCAGAUGCGAAAGCGUGGGGAGCAAACAGGAUUAGAUACCCUGGUAGUCCACGCCGUAAACGAUGUCUACUUGGAGGUUGUGGCCUUGAGCCGUGGCUUUCGGAGCUAACGCGUUAAGUAGACCGCCUGGGGGAGUACGGUCGCAAGAUUAAAACUCAAAUGAAUUGACCGGGGGCCCGCCACAAGCGGUGGAGCAUGGUGGUUUAAUUUCGAUGCAACGCGAAGAAUCCUUACCUACUCUUGACAUCCAGAAGAACUUUCCAGAGAUGGAUUGGUGCCUUCGGGAACUCUGAGACAGUGCUGCAUGCUGUCGUCAGCUCGUGUUGUGAAUGUUGGGAUAGUCCCGCACGAGCGCACCGUUAUCGUUGCUUGGCAGGCGAGUAAUUGUUCAGGUACUCCAUGCAAGACUGGCUGGUGAUAAUGGAAGAAGGUGGGGACCAACGG